UAGGGAAUGAAGAUGGUUUUUUAGAAGGCGCAGAUUGGGUUUUUGAAGCAAAAAAGUCAGAUGGCGAUUAUCACGGGGAAAUGGAUGCUCAUAAUUUUGAGAAAUGGUUUAAGAUGGUUUUAGACAAAAUUCUGCCGGGAUCUGUAAUUGUAAUGGAUAAUGCUCCAUACCAUUCUCGCCAACUCGAACGAGUGCCCAACAUGAGCUGGAGGAAGGAUGCUAUACAAGAAUGGUUACGAA
Plutella xylostella (diamondback moth) is the source of this 240-nucleotide non-coding RNA. NCBI's taxonomy places the organism in Eukaryota, Metazoa, Arthropoda, Insecta, Lepidoptera, Plutellidae. The record is from RefSeq and is a predicted model, not a curated record.